This 483-nucleotide ribosomal RNA is filed under the name uncultured bacterium. Its description in RNAcentral is "partial 16S ribosomal RNA". It matches the Rfam family "Bacterial small subunit ribosomal RNA", at positions 28 to 523 of the family's 1533-position model. The record is from RNAcentral.
GAUGAACGCUGGCGGCGUGCCUAAUACAUGCAAGUCGAACGAUGAAGCCGGAGCUUGCUCUGGUGAAUUAGUGGCGAACGGGUGAGUAACACGUGAGUAACCUGCCCUUGACUCUGGGAUAACUGCUAGAAAUGGUAGCUAAUACCGGAUACGACCCUCGGAGGCAUCUCCAGGGGGUGGAAAGAAUUUCGGUCAAGGAUGGACUCGCGGCCUAUCAGCUAGUUGGUGAGGUAACGGCUCACCAAGGCGACGACGGGUAGCCGGCCUGAGAGGGUGACCGGCCACACUGGGACUGAGACACGGCCCAGACUCCUACGGGAGGCAGCAGUGGGGAAUAGUGCACAAUGGGCGCAAGCCUGAUGCAGCAACGCCGCGUGAGGGAUGACGGCCUUCGGGUGUAAACCUCUUUUAGUAGGGAAGAAGCGAAAGUGACGGUACCUGCAGAAAAAGCACCGGCUAACUACGUGCCAGCCGCCGCUGUAA